Molecule: long non-coding RNA, 1266 nt
Filed under: Sus scrofa (pig)
Lineage: Eukaryota; Metazoa; Chordata; Mammalia; Artiodactyla; Suidae
Description: lncRNA (ENSSSCG00050050416.1)
Source: RNAcentral
UUUUUUUUUUUUUUAAUUUUAGCUAUUUUAUUUUUGUCUUUUUGCCUUUUCUAGGGCCGCUCCUGUGGCAUAUGGAGUUCCCAGGCUAGGGGUCGAAUCGGAGCUGUAGCCACCAGCCUACACCAGAGCCACAGCGAAUGCGGGAUCCGAGCCACGUCUGCGACCUACACCACAGCUCACGGCAACACCAGAUCCUUAACCCACUGAGCAAGGCCAGGGAUCAAACCUGCAACCUCAUGGUUCCUAGUUGGAUUCGUUAACCACUACGCCAUGACGGGAACUCCUAUUUUGUUUUUAAAAUAACCUUUGAGUACACCACCAUUCUUAUCAUGAACAAUUAGAAAAAUGAGAAUGCUUGUAGACAUACUACAAAUUUGACAAAGAUCCUAGAAAACUAUAUUGGACUAAAUAAUUAUUAUUCACAAAUAAUCACUUCGUAUUAACACUAUUUACCCUUAGCUGAUUUUCCUCUAAAUACAACACAUGGUUGUUAUGUGUCCCAUUUGUUUUAUUCAAUACCUGGAUACACUUGAAGAGAAUAAGUCAAACUUGCCUAAACCUAAACCAAUUUAAUACAUUUUAUCCUCUAAGAUUUGAGUUAUAUUGCUGAGUAUUUUAGACUACAAAACUCAUUUUUUUUUCUUUUUAGGUCCACACCCGGGGCACAUGGAGGUUCCUAGCCUGGGGGUCUAAUCGGAGCUACAGCUGCUGGCCUACACCACAGCUCAUACCAGAUCCAAGCUGUGUCUGCGGCCUACACCACAGAUGUCAGCAAAGCCGUAUCCUUAACCCACUGAGCGAGGCCAGAGAUCGAACGCUCAACCCAUGGUUCCUAGUUGGAUUCGGCUCCACUGUGCCACAAUAGGAACUCCCAAAACUCAUUGUAAUAAAGGUUAAUGAGUGAGGCUGAGCCCUUGAUUUUCUAGACCAGACAUGGAGGGUUAUAGCAGUUAGUCCAAGAGCCUAACUAGGAAACAUUUUCUUAAAUAGGGAAAUGUUAGGCUGAGCAGGAAGGAUGACUGCAAUAUACUGCAGUUUGGUGAGAGGAUUAACUGAAUAUAUAUAUAUAUCUGGCAAUAGUUUGUGAGAGACAUUCCUAGAUCUGGAUAGUCAAAAGAACCUUAAAAAUCAAAGGCUUGGUUUCUAUAUAUAAGUUUGAAAUCUGUGCAGGUGAAGAGGAGGGGCAAUCCAUUGAAUAUGAAGUAGCCUCAGGUAUUCACGACCUUUAAAAACUGUCAUUUUGGCGUUCUUCUUAUGGCUCAGUGG